CAGCCGCCGCGGUAAAACGAACCGUGCGAACGUUAUUCGGAAUCAUUGGGCUUAAAGCGCGUGUAGGCGGAUGGGAACGUCGGUCGCUGAAAUACCCCGGCUCAACCGGGGAACUGGCAUCGAAACGACCCGUCUCGAGGGGCAUAGGGGGAGCUGGAACUUCCGGUGGAGCGGUGAAAUGCGUUGAGAUCGGAAGGAACGCCCGUGGCGAAAGCGAGCUCCUGGAUGUCUUCUGACGCUGAGACGCGAAAGCUAGGGUAGCGAACGGGAUUAGAUACCCCUGUAGUCCCUGUCUCUUAUA
Molecule: ribosomal RNA, 301 nt
Filed under: uncultured bacterium
Lineage: Bacteria
Description: partial 16S ribosomal RNA
Rfam family: Bacterial small subunit ribosomal RNA
Source: RNAcentral